This 489-nucleotide ribosomal RNA is filed under the name uncultured Glomus. RNAcentral's name for it is "SSU rRNA". It matches the Rfam family "Eukaryotic small subunit ribosomal RNA", at positions 569 to 1062 of the family's 1831-position model. The record is from RNAcentral. Lineage: Eukaryota; Fungi; Glomeromycota; Glomeromycetes; Glomerales; Glomeraceae.
AGCAGCCGCGGUAAUUCCAGCUCCAAUAGCGUAUAUUAAAGUUGUUGCAGUUAAAAAGCUCGUAGUUGAAUUUCGGGAUCAGAUUGUCGGUCGUGCCUCGGUACGCACUGGCAUUAUUGGUUCCUACCUUCUGAAGAACCGCGAUGUCAUUAAUUUGGUGUCGUGGGGAAUCAGGACUGUUACUUUGAAAAAUUAGAGUGUUUAAAGCAGGCGCACGCUUGAAUACAUUAGCAUGGAAUAAUGAAAUAGGACGUUUGAUUCUAUUUUGUUGGUUUCUAGGAUCGACGUAAUGAUUAAUAGGGAUAGUUGGGGGCAUUAGUAUCCAAUUGUCAGAGGUGAAAUUCUUGGAUUUAUUGAAGACUAACUACUGCGAAAGCAUUUGCCAAGGAUGUUUUCAUUAAUACAGGAACGAAAGUUAGGGGAUCGAAGACGAUCAGAUACCGUCGUAGUCUUAACCAUAAACUAUAGCCGACUAGGGAUCGGAUGAUG